Molecule: ribosomal RNA, 437 nt
Filed under: uncultured bacterium
Lineage: Bacteria
Description: bacterial SSU rRNA
Rfam family: Bacterial small subunit ribosomal RNA
Source: RNAcentral
GCAAAACGCGAAGAACCUUACCCGGGUUUGAACGUAGGGAGACAGGAGUGGAAACAUUCUUUUCAGCAAUGACUGCCUACGAGGUGCUGCAUGGUUGUCGUCAGCUCGUGCCGUGAGGUGUCGGCUUAAGCGCCAUAACGAGCGCAACCCUUAUUUCCAGUUACUAACAGGUCAAGCUGAGGACUCUGGAGAGACUGCCAGCGUAAGCUGUGAGGAAGGUGGGGAUGACGUCAAAUCAGCACGGCCCUUACAUCCGGGGCGACACACGUGUUACAAUGGUAAGGACAAAGGGCAGCUACCGGGCGACCGGAUGCGAAUCUCUAAACCUUAUCUCAGUUCGGAUCGGAGUCUGCAACUCGACUGCGUGAAGUCGGAAUCGCUAGUAAUCGCGAAUCAGAAUGUCGCGGUGAAUACGUUCCCGGGUCUUGUACACACCG